This 73-nucleotide transfer RNA is filed under the name Salmo salar (Atlantic salmon). It matches the Rfam family "tRNA". Rfam says of the family: Transfer RNA (tRNA) molecules are approximately 80 nucleotides in length. Their secondary structure includes four short double-helical elements and three loops (D, anti-codon, and T loops). Lineage: Eukaryota; Metazoa; Chordata; Actinopteri; Salmoniformes; Salmonidae. The record is from Rfam by way of RNAcentral.
GCCCCUGUAGCUCAGUUGGUAGAGCAUGGUGUUUGCAACGCCAGGGUUGUGGGUUCGAUUCCCACGGGGGGCC